RNAcentral lists this ribosomal RNA (205 nucleotides) under uncultured bacterium. RNAcentral describes it as "partial 16S ribosomal RNA". It matches the Rfam family "Bacterial small subunit ribosomal RNA", at positions 568 to 774 of the family's 1533-position model. The record is from RNAcentral.
UGCGCAGGCGGUUCUGCAAGUCAGAUGUGAAAUCCCCGGGCUUAACCUGGGAACUGCGUUUGAAACUACGGAGCUAGAGUGCGGCAGAGGGGGUGGAAUUCCACGUGUAGCAGUGAAAUGCGUAGAUAUGUGGAGGAACACCGAUGGCGAAGGCAGCCCCCUGGGCCGACACUGACGCUCAGGCACGAAAGCGUGGGAGCAAACA